CUAGGAUCUUCGGUGUUGGGGGAAAAUGCACAGUAUUAAUUUUUCCAGCUAAAGUUCUUUACACAGUUAGUUCUUGGUCCACCACUUCAACACAGUCCAAAGAUUCAUAAGCCAAAUCUCCAUUAAACCAACCUCAAACUGGCUAAGCCAGGUUCUCAGAAGCUUAACUAACUAGUGUGUCUUUGGAGAAAGGAGGAGGCAGAGUUGGUGGGUGAAAGGUAAUCACUGUGGCAGCCAGCUUUGAAGGUUCCUGCCCAUCCUAGUGAUUCCUGCCUCUGGUUUCCAUGCCCUUGUGUGGUCUCUUCCAACAGUGUGUCAUGAUUGAUCUAUGUGAUCAAUAGAAUACAACCUCUAUUCGAGAUGAGGCUAUGAAAGACACUGGCUUUUCUGUCUUGCUCUGUCUUAGGUCACUCGCUUUGGGGAAAGCCACCUGCCAUGCUGUGAGGACAUUCAAACUGCCUAUGGAGAGGUCCAUAUAGUGAAAAACUAAGGCCCCUGCCAAAACCCAUGUGAGCCAUCUUGGAAACAGAUCCUUCAGCCCGAGGCAAGCCGUUAGAUAAUGUAGUGCCAGCCAACAUCUUGACAGCAGCCUGCAAGAGACUCUGAGUUAGAAACACCCAGCAAAGCCAUUCCUGAAUUCCUGAUACUCAGAAUCAGCAUGAUAAUAGUAAAUGCUUAUUAUCAGAUACCAUCAGCAUAAUGUCAUCGAUGCAGUGGACCAGUGUGACAUGGGGAACAUAAAGAUGGUCACGAUUUUUGCAGACUCCAUAUGCAAAGUAUCAUAGGCCUUUCCAUCUAUCCGGAGUGACCUACCAGAGACAGGACAGUUUGACCAGCAAGCUUCUGAUCACUCUUCAACACCCAGCAAGAAGUCUUAUCCUCCACGCAGCCUUCUAAGACCUCUCUAAGCACAGUGGAGAUGAAGUCUUGCCAUGUUGCCCAGGCUGGUCUUGAACUCCUAGAAUCAAGCAAUCCUCCUUCUUCAGCCUCCUAAAGUGCUGGGAUUAUAGGCGUGAGCCACUGUGUCCAACGGUGAGUAACUUUCAAAGACAGUGACCUAUUCAUUCUUAAAUGUUUUCUUCUGAUAAAUAUCUUUAGUUCCCUCUGUAUAUUUCCUCCCAGGGGAACCAAAUAAUUUUACAGUUUUUGAUUUAAAGAUAAGUAUAAAUUUUAGAUAUGUUGAAAUGAAGCAGACUUACCCUCUCAAAAUACAAAAACCUGACCACUUUCAAAGAUCAAAAAGGCUUGUGUGCAAGUUGUCUAAAGAGGCAAGAUAUCCUACUCUUCUGAAGUCAACUAUGAAAGCCUGAGACAUUCUUCCACCAGUAACAGUUAAUUCCAAAAUGAGUUUGAAGGUAAAGCAAGAAAGUGGUUUCCUGGUCCUGUAAAGACCGUUUGUUGCCAGGCAGACCUUUCAAAGAGAGAUGCAGAGGGGCGCCCAUCUGCUCCACUGCCUAAGCCCAGGUGAACCUCUGGGUGGAAUAAGAGCCGAGGACUUUAGACCAAGCCCCUCCCCCUCAAAACCCAAAGCCUUCCCUUUGUCCCCACUCCUUGCCUAUCUGAUUACUGUAUGGAACUGAGCACUACUAGACUCGUGUGCUAGAUUUUUAAUCUCUGAUGACCUGAAUGUUACAUACCUCUCUCUCUUAAAGCAUCCUUGGAUUUUUAAAAUUUUUAUUUAAUUUUUGUGUGGUUUAUUUCCACACAAUUGAAUCUUUUUCUAUGGGAAAUCAGCAUUGACAAAAAAGAAAGGGUCUCUGUACUGUGGUCCCCAAAUAAAUACUAGGUAGGUAAUAUGUAACAGGUCACCAGACCAAAUGCAGUCACUAUAAGAAAAGGAGAAAUGAGUUUCAUGGGACAGUGAGAGAAAAAUAAAUUUGGGUGUUUAAAAAAUUUACUUGUUAUAUGCCAGGCUGUGGGCUAAGUACUUUAAAUGUAUUACAUUAUGUAAUCUUCAAAACAACCUUAUGUUCUAACUACCAUUAUUAAUAGGUUGUUUUUGUCACAAUGAGGUAACAGAAGUUAAGGGAGACUAUGUAACUCUUCAAAAGUUAUACAACUAAAAAGCAGCAGGACUCAGAUGAGAGCGGGCAGGGUCAGGAGGCCAGCCAGGUCUUCUUAGUUCGCUUUUCAGCAUGUCGUCUUGCUACUGGCUUGGGGGAACCCCUGGGUAAGAACCAGGUGGAUGCAGAGUCACGGCUGGGACAGAUGUCUCAGAAGUCAGAUGACCUUGGUUUAAGAACUGACCAGUUAGCCACUACGUGCCUUUGGGCAAGUUAGUCAACCUCUCAAAGUCUCAGUUUCCUCAAUAAGAACAAGGAAAUAAGAGCAACUAGAUCAUAACGUUGUUAUGAGGAUCAAAUAGGAUGCAUGUCAAGUGUUGAGCAUUUGCCUGAAAUUCAGUAUGUGUGGAAAAAACGUUAACCAUCAGAAAUCAGUGAUACUUACGAAAGGAGGAAAUAUGCAAAAGAAAAUCUAAGAGAAAUGUAGAAGAAGAAUGAAAGAAAAUAUCCCAUAAUUUCUGAAUAGUUUAAUUUCUUGAUUCCCAAUUAGGUAAUAAAAAAGGUUGACAAAAGUUCCAAUAUAGCUGGCAAAUUCUCAAGUCAGAAAGCAAAAGCUCAAGGGAUAAAACCCAAAGUAGGAACAACAGCAGUUCCUACCUUUCAAGCUCACCUGAAUGAACUAGGUCACUCAUGACAACUGGUUCUUUAAAAAUAAAAUGUCGGGGCCAGGCACAGUGGCUCACACCUGUAAUCCCAGUACUUUGGGAGGCCAAGGCGGGCAGAUCACUUGAGGUCAGGAGUUUGAGACCAGCCUGGCCAACAUAGUGAAACCCCGUCUCUACUAAAAAUACAAAAA
Molecule: long non-coding RNA, 2859 nt
Organism: Pongo pygmaeus (Bornean orangutan)
Lineage: Eukaryota; Metazoa; Chordata; Mammalia; Primates; Hominidae
Exons: 4
Source: RefSeq, a predicted model, not a curated record